Molecule: RNA transcript, 9481 nt
Organism: Hemicordylus capensis (graceful crag lizard)
Lineage: Eukaryota; Metazoa; Chordata; Lepidosauria; Squamata; Cordylidae
Gene: LARP7
Gene name: La ribonucleoprotein 7, transcriptional regulator
Exons: 18
Source: RefSeq, a predicted model, not a curated record
UCUUCCCAAGCAACCAAUAGGGCCGGUGAAGCUCGACCUUUCUGAGCGUCGCGCGAGAAUUUAAUACUACAACGUGGGGAGGGGAAGGGCAGACGGAGAGACAGGCGUUUCGUUUUGCGGAGUGACUGUGUGACGUUAUCCCGACUGCUUCAUGCUGGCAUCAGGUGAUGAAUGAUAGGAAUGGAGACUGCAGCUGUAAGAAGCAAAGCCAUGGAAAAAGCAGCCACUGCAGAAAGCAAGGAACAAGACAAAAAGAAAAGGUCUAGAGUAAAACAGGUGCUUUCAGACAUAGCAAAGCAAGUGGACUUCUGGUUUGGCGAUGUCAAUCUUCACAAGGACAGGUUUCUCCGAGAACAAAUAGAAAAAUCUAGAGAUGGAUAUGUUGACAUAUCACUUUUGGGUUCUUUUAACAACAUGAAGAAAUUAACCACUGAUCGGAAAUUGAUAGCACGAGCAGUUAAAAGCUCAUCUGUUGUAGAGUUGGAUUUAGAAGGAACUAGAAUUAGAAGACGGCAGCCACUGGGUGAGCAACCGAAAGAUGUGGAUAGUCGUACAGUAUAUGUGGAGCUCCUUCCUAAAAAUGUCAAUCACAGUUGGAUUGAGCGAGUAUUUGGUAAAUGUGGCAAUGUCGUUUAUAUCAGCAUCCCUCGCUAUAAGAGUACUGGAGACCCAAAGGGGUUUGCAUUUGUUGAAUUUGAAACAAAAGAACAAGCAGAAAAGGCAAUUGAGUUCUUGAAUAAUCCACCAGAAGAUGCACCAAGAAAACCUGGGAUGUUCCCCAAAACAGUAAAAAACAAGCCCGUUCCUGCAUUGCCUAGCGAUUCUAGUGUAGUUGAAGAGAAGAAAAAGAAAAAGAAGAAGAAAUCCAAAGCAAAGAAGGAAAGCAGCCAACAAUCAACUGCAGAGUCAAAGGACUCUAACAUGGACAUUGCUACAGAACACACAAACAGAUCAAAAAGACAUAGGACAACAUCAGAGAGCUCUGAAAUGGAAGCAUCAGAAGUCCGUCAGUCUUCAAAGAAAGAGAGAAAAAAGCUGGAUAGAACAGAAAGCUCAGGGUUAGGAGACAGCAGACCAGGAAAGAGGAAGCGAAGCCACUCUGGGGACGGAGAGGUUUUGGGUGCAAAGGUAAAGAAAACUACUCAGAAGGAUAAUGUUCACUCAGUUAAAGAGGAACCUACAGAUGGGCCAGAAGAUUCCAAGGAAAUCUCCACUGAAGAAGAGAGAGAAAUUGGAGAUAAGAAAGACAUCUCUCUUUCAAAAUCUAAAAGGAAACAUAAAAAGAAGCACAAGGAGAGACACAAGAUGGGAGAAGAAGUAAUUCCACUGAGAGUCCUCUCAAAAAAUGAAUGGAUGCAGCUGAAGCAAGAGUACUUGGCCCUACAGAAAGCUAGUAUGUCAUCUUUGAAAAAAGCAAUGGCCGAAAUAAAAACUAUGACUGUUGGGGAAAUGGAAACAGAUUUGUGUGUGCCCAGUCAGCCAGCAACAAGAAAUGCUGCCAGUGAUGGCUCAGCCCCUGCUGGGAAGGCUCACACAAUGGGCCCCCAGUUUGUGGGUGGAGUAAUUGUGAAGAUCCUUAGUCCUGAACCUCUGCCAGGCAGGAAACUCAUCAAGGACACAUUGGCGACACUAGCUGAUGUUGCUUAUGUUGACCUGCUGGAAGGAGAUACAGAAUGUCAUGUGAGGCUUAAAACUCCUGAGGAUGCACAGACUAUAAUAAAGUCACAUAAAGAACUGCAGUCUAAAAACAACUGGAAACUUGAGAUCCUUUCAGGUGAUCAUGAACAACGAUAUUGGCAGAAGAUUUUGGUGGACCGACAAGUUAAACUUAAUCAACCACGAGAAAAGAAGCGAGGCACAGAGAAGUUAAUUGCAAAAGCUGAAAAAAUAAGACUGGCGAAGACACAAGAGAUAAGCAAACAUAUCCAUUUCUCUGAAGAUGAGUAAAGAAGUCUGAUAUUUACUGGUACAAAAAGGUUUUACAAAGAGAAAUACAACUUUCCUUAUGAAGACAUAAUCUAUUUGCUGCUUAACAAUCUUGCAAUGUAGCCAAAUUUUGCCACGUUGGUGGAAACAAUACCACUGUUGGACAAAAGGAGAGACACAUAAAAGGCUGAUGGCCUACCUGGGAAUCUAGACAAAACAGAUGGAAUUGUAAGGAAUUCAUCAAACUUAUACAAUGACUGAGAUGGAGGAUUUAUUUCCAGCCCUCUACAAUGACUGAAUUUCUUUUUGUUGAAGAUUCACCUACAUUCCAGCCUGAAGGGAAUGCAGAAGCACUAUAAUUGCGUUCAACCUGAUCAAUCUUCUGAGAAAAUAACUGCCAAGCAAAGAAGGCAUCUUGCAACACUUCAGAAAGAAGUGGGUUUCCCCUCCCUCUUCAGGACACCUGCUGCUUUUCUAUAAUUAGCCUUGCAGGGCUAGCAGAAAGAUUAUUUUCCAGACCCAUUUAAAGGCUUCAAAGACACCAGCAGGCCUUUCUUUCUCUGGGCGUCUUCAGCAUCUUGCUGGGUGAGGCGUGAUGAUCAUGACAGAAGGGGAUUCUCCUUUGUGCUGUAAGCCUCUUCAUCAAGUAGUGAGGAGCUAAGGGCAGCUCUGCCACCCUUCUCUUGCCUUUGGAGGAAACUUCUGAAAUGUAUCCUUUAUCUACUGCUAAAUGGGCCAAGAGGCACCUUUUAACAUGGCGCAGAGAGAAUGAGCAAUUGCUCAUUUAGAAGCACAGCACCACACCCUAACCCCCAGGGUCUCCUUUGUGGGUUUUUUCCAGACCACAUGGCCCUUUGGAACAAGGAACCACUUUGGGGUCCUCUUGUGCAAAACAGUUUGGGAAUCAGCCCUACAAACUGGGCCAAGAGGCACCUUUGAAAAUGGCUGCUCUCUUCUGUGUUGCAAGGGAACAUCAACUGUCCCUGUUAAAGCCAGGAUAGCACCCCCACCCCCACCCCCAGUGGUUGUUGCUUAGUGUUUCUGCUUAAGCCCCUUUGGAACAAGGAAACAUCUUUAGGCCUUGUUGGGGCACACAGUUUAGGAAUCACCCCUGUUAACUGGACAAAGAGGCAUUAAAGUGGUAGUUAUCUUAUAUUUAGCAUGGGGAACAACUGUCCCUGUUCAGCUGAGCAUAUAGCAUCCCUCCCCAUGGCUUUUGCUGAUGGUGUGCAUGUGUGUUUGCGUGUGCAUGUGUGUGUGUGUGUGCAAGCAAGGUUGUGAGCCCUUUUGAGAAAUGGAACCAUCUUCAGGCCUUCCUGUGCACACAGUUUGGGUUUCAUCCCUGCUAACUGAGCAAAGCACUUUUUAAAGUGAUGGCUCUCUUAUAUUUAGCAGGGGGGAGCAACUGUCCCCAGGGCUGCCCUAUCCAUUAUUAUUACUAUUAUUAUUAUUAUUAAUUUAUUUACAUUUAUAUCCCCGCUCUUCCUCCAAGGAGCCCAGAGCGGUGUACUGCAUACUUAAGUUUCUACUCACAACAACCCUGUGAAGUAGGUUAGGCUGAGAGAGAUGUGACUGGCCCAGAGUCACCCAGCAAGUAUCAUGGCUGAAUUAGGGAUUUGAACUCGGCUCAACUCAGGUCUUGGCGAACUAGGCAGUUUAGGAGAGUGAAGGAGUUGGGAGCACAAAUGGUCUUUUCAUCGAUCUCUCCGGUGGAAGGUCAAAAUGCUCAAGGAGAAUGCAGCAUCCUGCAAGGAAACAGCUGACUGAUGCAAAGAUGGUGUAGUUGAGAAAGGUUUGGAUUCAUGGAACACAGCCUUUGCUUGCUACCUACAUGGAGGACUCCUGGAUGGGGUGCACUUCAUGAAGACUGGGGAGAAUGUGUUGGGUAGAAGAACUGGUUGAUGAAUCAGAAGUGGAGGGAAGCCUGGGGGAAGGUGACCAUGCUGUCUUGGAAUGCAUAACAUCAAGGGGAGGGGAGAUUCAAGAAAUCAGACAAGCACCCCAGAUUACAGGAAAGCUGAAUUUAAUGAUCUCAGAGGAACACUAGAUAGGAUCCCGUACCUAGAAAUCCUAAAGGACAAAAGAGCUGAAGAAGGAUGGGAGAUUCAGAAAAGAGAAAUCCUGAAGGUACGUUUGCAGACAGUCAAGAAACCAGCGUGGAUGCACAGACAACUCUCUGAGCAGGUAAGAAGCAAAAGGAACACAUACAGGAAAUGGAAGGAGGGGCAUAUAACCGAGCAAGAAUACAAAAGAGUGGUCCAAGCCUGUGGGGCUGGUGUCAGGAAAGCUAAGGCUCAGAAGGAGCUGAGGAUUGAGAUGGAUGUCAGAAACAACAAAAAAGGGGUUCUAUGGAUAUCAGCAAGCUAUAAAGCCCAGCGGUCCUCUGAUGGACACUGUUGGAGCAACAUUCCCUUCCGUUGCAAUACCCAGCUUCUGCACUGGCCUGAUUGGCACUGACCAUGGUCCUGACAUGGUGCCCUGGGAGCUGUCCAGAGUCCUUGGCUCUGAAGGGAUGGUGGCAUCACCUGGAGCAGGGUACCAGUCAAGGGAUGGGAAGCAAGCCACCCACAGUCCUUCUUUUGCAUCUGGACUGGGCUUUGGUUUGUUGGCUCCCUGCAGUCCAUGACUGAUUGCAGGCAACAAUUCAACACUUCCAUGGCUUCACCUCUAUCGGACGAAAAGGAGAAAUAUGGCUAGGUAUUAUGGUGAUGACAGCACAAUCCCAAUCCCUGGAUGACCUCACUCUUUGGUUUCAUGUGGAUGUGGAAAAGCAUGGGGAAUAAAAGAGAGCCCUGGAAAACCUCAUCGCGAAGCUGGCAUGGUGCAGAGUAACAGUCUGCCAGCACCACCUUUGAAUACUGUCAGUGCUGGGUUGGGGGCAGCUGCUGGAGGGUGUGUGGAGCCCUCUGAAUACCCUUGCUGACCAUGUGCAUGCUGGUGCUGUGCAGGGGGUAAUUGGGAUAUGUGCCACCCUGGCAGGAAGCUGGAAGGGGUGGUGGAGAGCAGGUAAGGACCUGCUCUCCUUUCCCUUAAAGUUCCCAAUCCUGUUUCCUAAAAAGUGCUCAAACCGUGUUUCAAACCAUGGUUCGAGCACAUCCCUAGUUGGUGUUAGGAAAGCUAAGGUUCAGAAGGAGCUGAGACUUGAGAUGGAUAUCAGAAACAACCCAAAGGCGUUCUAUGGCUAUCAGCAAGCUAUAAAAACCAGUGGUUCUCUGAGGGACACUGCUGGAGCAACAUUCUCUUCCAUUGCAAUACCCAGCUUCUGCACUUGCCUGAUUGACUCUGACAGUGGUCCUGACUUGGUGCCCUGAGAGCUGUCCAGGCUCUGAGGUUUUCCUGGUCCCAGGUGGCAUCACCGGGAUACCAGUCUAGGGAAGCAAGCCACCCACAGCCCCUCUGUCACAUCGGGACUGGGCUUUGGUUUAUUAGCUCCCUUCAGUCCAUUACUGAUUGCAGACAACAGUUAAACACUUCAAUGGUUUUAUGAUCUCUAAAGGAGAAAUAGAGCUGAAUGUUGGCAGACUACUGAUGACACCACAAUCCUAUUCUCUGGACCAGUGUUUAUCAACCCAACCGCCGAGGUGUUGAGCACUGUCUGCGAGGUGUUGGGUACUGGUCUGUGAGGGUACCGGUCCAUCACACAUAGAGGGGCGGGGCCAGGGAUCCACAGAGCCUGGGCCAUCUCUCUGGAGCUCAUUUCUAGGCAGGCAACCCUUGCUGCUAGAUAACAUUCAUUUAGCUUUCUCAAAUGAACAUCCAGCAGUGAGGGCUGCCUCGAAAUGAGCUGCAGGGAGCUCCCAGACACAGCAGCCCCUACUGGCCUGAAAAUGUUUUGGGGGACCUGGGGUUUGGGUGUGGGGCGGGGUGACCCCUUUAUUAACUGCUAGUCUGGGAAACUGCACACGAAGAACACACCACUCCAUGACUUCAAAAACAUUGACAAACACAGCUCUGGACGACCUCACACUUCCGUUUCAUGUAGACAUUGGACAGCAUGGGUAAUAGAAGAGAGCCCUGGAGAACCCCAUAAUGGAGCUUCCAUGGGGUAAAGCAAUAGUCCCCCAGCACCAUCUUUGAACACUGUCAGUUAUAGGUUGCUGGGCAGCCACAGGAGGACAUGUUGGAGCCUAAAGACGCGCCCAGGAAGGCCCAGCAGAGAACCAGGGUCAAGGGAAAGCCCAAGGCCUGCACAGGAUGUGGUGAUGACUGUCAGCUUGGAUGGCUUUAAAAGGGGCUUAGGCAAGCAGACAAACUGGGAACCAAGGUUAGGAGAUGAGCUGUGAGUCAAAGCCAAGGGUCAAGCCAAGCAGGAGCCAGGAUCAGAAGAUGCUUGCUUAUUUUAUUUUAUUUUAUUUUAUUUUAUUUUAUUUUAUUUUAUUUUAUUUUUUAUUUUAUUUAUUUGUAUACCACCCUUCCAAAAUGGCUCAGGGCUCAUAUGCUACUUGCCUUCUGGCCAUCAGAUUUCCAUUGCUCUCACCUUCUCAAGGAGCCGAAGGAGCCUCUCCAUGGGAGAGGAAGGUACUUAGGAGGAAUCAUGUAAACAGCUUGAGUCCUUUCCUUGCCUCAUAAGGACAAAGAAAGGGGAACAAAGGAUAUGGAGGUUCUCUUCCUUGAGGGGAAAGGAACAAAGAAAGUUCCCAAAUAGCUCAUUGAAAAUUAAAGUGGAUUUAGGCUGGAUUUGUUGGGAGAAAAUUAAAAAGACUCAGGAAAUACUUCAGGAACUGGAAGGAAUGGACCCAUGAUGAGUGGGAAGAGGAAGAGGAUGAAGGUGAGGAGAUGCUCUGGCUUUCUGGGGAAUUGUUGGGAGGGGGUGGAGAAUCCUGAUAGUAGUGUCUUCCUGCAACCCAUACAACAGCCCUAUAGACUAGAGUAGGUGAGCCCUAUUGGACCUGUAUUGCAGAUGAGAUGAUUGAGGCAUUGGGGUUAGUCUGAGGCUUCCUUACGAGUUCUAGGCAGGGUCAAGAUCCAAAUGGGGGAUUUGUAGACUCCCAGUGUAGCCUCUGGGCCAACACAUCACAGUGGCUCUUCCAGUUAUGAAGAGGGCUUUGAUGAGAAGAAGGUAGCAUCAAGAGUCUUGAGGUGGCCCAAACCCAGUGGUGGGGGAGAAAUUGUAAGACCCAGAGGUCACCUUCUCCCCAUGGAUCUGUUCUAGGCUGAAGGCAGUCACACACCUUUUUCAGAGAAGGAGCACCAAGGCGGCCUAUGCUGCCCCAGACCCAGGAAGGACCCACCUACUGCCCAGAGGUAAGUGUCUGGGAGAUCAUCUGAGACAGCUUCAUUAAGUAUUGACAGUAUUUGUUUAUAAACUGGGAAUUGUUUAAAGCUCUCUGAAUUUCUGGUUCAUAUAUUACAAAUUAAUUAUUUUUAUUGUUUAACUGUUUAAUAGUUUUAUAUUGUUCUAAAUGUUUUGUAAACCACCUUGGGAUUGUUUUUAAUGAAAGGCAGUAUAAAAAUCUAACAAUAAAUAAAUUAACUAAUGAAGCAGGCAGAGUCUGCUAGGAGUGAGAGGAAGAGAUAGGGAAUUGCUAGGGAGGAGGCCCAUGGGGAAUUGCUGCAUGGGGAGAAAUCCCUAGGCCUAUGAGGAAUCUGUAAAGUAGGACCGGCAAGUAUGAUGUCCUCCUUUCAUAUGGGAAGGCUGAGGCUUGUCUGAGUUUUGCCUGAGGCCUGCUUGUGAGUUUCCUGACAGAGGCAGGAUCCAAAUGGAGGACCCAAGGUUGAGAACCCCCGGACUGUGCAGCUGCUUGGGAUGAAAUGGCCAGGUUCAGUAACAUUGAACUAACCCUGCGGAGAUGUCAUUCCGAGGAGUUAACUGGAAGGCUUGAGACUAAAAUGAUCUGAAGGUCCAAGUGCUGUGUGAGAGAAGGGCAUCACACCAGGACAGGUACAUCUCUCAAGAGAGGAUGAGCACCCUGUGGCCACUGAGCAGAAAGGAGAACCCCUCCACAGGAAGAUUGUGCAGAUUAUCUGUGGAGCAGCAGCAGUAUACGGUAAGGAUGGGGGCAGGGAGGUGGGGCAGGGAGAUAAUUCACUUGAAAGUCACCUGGACAAUUUCACAAAAGGCCACUAGUGUCCUUCCUAAUCUUUGUCCUUUGCAAUGUUCAGGGCGAUUAAGGAAUUCAUCCUGAAGCUGAAAAUGGAUUUUCUCAGGGUAGGCAGGAAAAUUUCAUAUGGAAGUGUGAACAGUUUAUCAUGGUGAGUAAAAUGCAGAAACCCAGGAGAGAGGUGGCAGCUACAGAGCAGAGCAUCUCCAGCAGGUGUCCAAGGAAUGGAAAAUACUGUUGAGAGUCAUGCUUUCUCUGCCAAGAUUCUUGUUUCCUUUCCAUAUUUGUAGAAUCCUCAUGUGCAUUCUAGGUGUUGAGCAUCCGGCUGAGAGAAGACCUCACUUCUGAAGGAAGGUGUGUGGAAGAAAGUAUAGCAGCAAAUGUUGCUUUCGUUUAAGGCAGGUAUGCAGAAGGCCUCUGGCUAUUGUGACCCCAAUCUGAUGGCAAGUUGGGGCUAAAACUGGGCCUGGUCUCAGAGCCUGGGGGGCUCCCCCAAAGAAGGGGAUGUGGAAGCCCUCUUCAGAUGUUUGGCUGUCGUGCUUGCAGUGCCGAAAGCAAAAGUCUCACCCUGGCACUGUCACUCACCCCCUCCAGCUGGCCGCUCAUGGUUAUGGCUCCAUUUAAAGGAGGAAACACCAUAACCAUGAUGGCCAGCACUUCCAUGAGCAAUAACCUCAGGUGGCUCAAGUUGCUGCUCACAGAAGUGCCAGCCAUCACAGUUACAGCACUUCCUCCUUCAGAUGAAUGAAGCUGUAACUGUGAGCAGCCAGCUGGAAGGGGUAAGCCCGGGCAGGACUUCCUCCCUGCUUUUGGUGCUACAAUCGUAAGUAUGGAAUGUCUGCAGAAGGCUAGAAUCACAGAGCAAACAACCGCCUCACCCCAGAAGUGGAGCCACACAGUAAUUUACAGAACACCUUUUAAAUUAGUGACUAAAGUUUGGCCCAAGUUUUCACCCAUUUCCUUGUCCCAUCUCUUGAUCCUGAGUCUGGGUGCAAAACCAUUAUUUCCCCCUGCUCUGCGUGCAAUGCAGAAUAGUGGUGUUCCAUCCAGUCCUGGCAGGGUGCAAGGAACCAUGUUGGGCCAUGCAGUGGACCAUGCUGUGGGCUGCAUCCUCAGUCCUUAGGGACAACCAGGGGGCGGAGGGUGCACUAAAAAAUGGCCCCCACCCUUUGUAGGCCUUCUGGAGGAAUAUCUCGGCAUCUGCUUACCCUCCUAAGCAACAGUGUGGGAUUAGCUGGCUGCCAUUUGGGGCCGAGUAGGAAUUUUUCCCAUCCACCCAGAUUGGCCUGGAGGUAGAUGGUUUUUUGCCUACUCUGCACUGUUGCACUGGAAGGGAUUUUUGAUUUGGCGAACAUUAGAAGCGGUGCCAUUUAAUAGUGUAGCCCCUUGAUCACAACAGCAGGUGAGGGGGGUACAGUGCUUCACCCCAGGGGUGGCAGCUGCACUGUGACUUAGCUACAUUGCAGAUCUCUGUUAAAACUAGUUAAUAAAGUUGUGGCCCUAGUCUAAACUCA